GAUGAACGCUGGCGGCGUGCCUAAUACAUGCAAGUCGAGCGAACAGACGAGGAGCUUGCUCCUCUGACGUUAGCGGCGGACGGGUGAGUAACACGUGGAUAACCUACCUAUAAGACUGGGAUAACUUCGGGAAACCGGAGCUAAUACCGGAUAAUAUAUUGAACCGCAUGGUUCAAUAGUGAAAGACGGUUUUGCUGUCACUUAUAGAUGGAUCCGCGCCGCAUUAGCUAGUUGGUAAGGUAACGGCUUACCAAGGCAACGAUGCGUAGCCGACCUGAGAGGGUGAUCGGCCACACGGGAACUGAGACACGGUCCAGACUCCUAAGGUAGGCAGCAGUAGGGAAUCGUCCGCAAUGGGCGAAAGCCUGACGGAGCAACGCCGCGUGAGUGAUGAAGGUCUUCGGUUCGUAAAACUCUGUUAUUAGGGAAGAACAAAUGUGUAAGUAACUAUGCACGUCUUGACGGUACCUAAUCAGAAAGCCACGGCUAACUACGUG
RNAcentral lists this ribosomal RNA (497 nucleotides) under uncultured bacterium. Its description in RNAcentral is "partial 16S ribosomal RNA". It matches the Rfam family "Bacterial small subunit ribosomal RNA", at positions 28 to 507 of the family's 1533-position model. The record is from RNAcentral.